RNAcentral lists this ribosomal RNA (1486 nucleotides) under uncultured Bacillus sp. RNAcentral describes it as "bacterial SSU rRNA". It matches the Rfam family "Bacterial small subunit ribosomal RNA". Lineage: Bacteria; Bacillati; Bacillota; Bacilli; Caryophanales; Bacillaceae. The record is from RNAcentral.
AGAGUUUGAUCCUGGCUCAGGACGAACGCUGGCGGCGCGCUUAACACAUGCAAGUCGUGCGGUACCGUGGGUAAGUCCUUACAGACGAGCCCUCGGUACAGCGGCGGACGGGUGAGUAACACGUGAGUAGCUGUCCUAAGGAGGGGGAUAACGCCUGGAAACGGGUGCUAAUACCCCAUAUGCCUCGCAAGAGGUGAAAGUGUACUCGUUACAGCCUUAGGGUGCGCUCGCGGCCUAUCAGCUAGUUGGUGAGGUAACGGCUCACCAAGGCUAAGACGGGUAGCCGGCCUGAGAGGGUGUACGGCCACACUGGAAUUGAGAUACGGUCCAGACUCCUACGGGAGGCAGCAGUGGGGAAUCUUGGGCAAUGGGCGAAAGCCUGACCCAGCGACGCCGCGUUGGGGAUGAAGCCCUUCGGGGCGUAAACCCAUGAUGUAGGGGACGAAGAAAGUGACGGUACCCUACGAGAAAGCCCCGGCCAACUACGUGCCAGCAGCCGCGGUAAUACGUAGGGGGCAAGCGUUAUCCGGAUUUACUGGGUGUAAAGGGAGCGUAGGUGGUGCGGCAAGUCAGAUGUGAAAGCCCGGGGCUCAACCCCGGGACUGCAUUUGAAACUGUCGUGCUAGAGUGCAGGAGAGGUAAGUGGAAUUCCUAGUGUAGCGGUGAAAUGCGUAGAUAUUAGGAGGAACACCAGUGGCGAAGGCGGCUUACUGGACUGUAACUGACACUGAGGCUCGAAAGCGUGGGGAGCAAACAGGAUUAGAUACCCUGGUAGUCCACGUCGUAAACGAUGAAUACUAGGUGUCGGGGGUCAAAAGACCUUCGGUGCCGUCGCUAACGCAAUAAGUAUUCCACCUGGGGAGUACGUUCGCAAGAAUGAAACUCAAAGGAAUUGACGGGGACCCGCACAAGCGGUGGAGCAUGUGGUUUAAUUCGAAGCAACGCGAAGAACCUUACCAGGUCUUGACAUCCCGAUGACCGGCCCGUAACGGGGCCUUCCCUACGGGGCAACGGAGACAGGUGGUGCAUGGUUGUCGUCAGCUCGUGUCGUGAGAUGUUGGGUUAAGUCCCGCAACGAGCGCAACCCUUAUCCUUAGUAGCCAGCAGGUAAAGCUGGGCACUCUAGGGAGACUGCCAGGGACAACCUGGAGGAAGGUGGGGAUGACGUCAAAUCAUCAUGCCCCUUAUGAUCUGGGCUACACACGUGCUACAAUGGCGGCCACAAAGGGAAGCGACCCUGUGAAGGUGAGCAAAUCCCAAAAAAGCCGUCCCAGUUCGGAUUGUAGUCUGCAACUCGACUACAUGAAGCCGGAAUCGCUAGUAAUCGCGAAUCAGCAUGUCGCGGUGAAUACGUUCCCGGGUCUUGUACACACCGCCCGUCACACCAUGGGAGUCGGAAAUGCCCGAAGUCAGUGACCCAACCCGGUAGGGAGGGAGCUGCCGAAGGUGGAGCCGAUGACUGGGGUGAAGUCGUAACAAGGUAGCC